AAAAACAAAAGGGAGAAUAAAAUCCCUCAACCUAUAGUCCACAAAAUCACAAAGUCCACAAAUAAAAACCCAAAAACCCAAACCCACAAAGUCCACAAAUAAAAACCCAAAAACCCAAACCCACAAAGUCCACAAAUAAAAACCCAAAAACCCAAAAUCCACAAAGUCCACAAAUAAAGAUCCAAAACCCAAAGUUCACAAAUAAAAAUCCAAAAUCCAAAGUCUACAAAUAAAACCCAACCAAAUCUAUCAAACCUUUGUCACCCAAAUACCUCCAACCCAAACCAAAUUCAUGGGCUUCCCAAAUGGGCCCCUCACUAUGAAUUAAUUCUAUGAAUUAAUUUUUUGGGCUUUCCAAAUGUAUUCCCUAUCACGAAUUAAUUCUAUGAAUUAGUUUCAUGGGUCCUCUUUGUCAUAAAUUAAUAUCAUGAACCAAUGGGCUCUCCAAAUGGCCCCUAUCAUGAAUUAAUUUCAUCAAAUAACUUGGUGGACUUUACAAAUGGACUCCUAGCAUUAGUUAAUUUCGUGAAUCAGUUUCAUGAAUACCUCGAUUUCAAUCGACCGAAACGUCGUUAAACUAAACCCAAAUCCAAACGACCGAAAAGUCGUUAAACUAAACCCGAAUCCAAAUGACCGAAAAGUCGUUAAACUAAACCCAAAUNN
RNAcentral lists this long non-coding RNA (663 nucleotides) under Ananas comosus (pineapple). RNAcentral's name for it is "long non-coding RNA (ACOM_LNC003392)". Lineage: Eukaryota; Viridiplantae; Streptophyta; Magnoliopsida; Poales; Bromeliaceae. The record is from RNAcentral.